GGAAGCGUGGCAGAGUGGACGAAUGCACACGACUUGAAAUCGUGCGGGCAAGCGAUCCUUGUCCCGCGGGUUCGAAUCCCGCCGCUUCCGCCA
Molecule: transfer RNA, 93 nt
Filed under: Nesterenkonia sedimenti
Lineage: Bacteria; Bacillati; Actinomycetota; Actinomycetes; Micrococcales; Micrococcaceae
Description: Nesterenkonia sp. MY13 tRNA-Ser
Rfam family: tRNA
About the family: Transfer RNA (tRNA) molecules are approximately 80 nucleotides in length.
Source: RNAcentral